This 323-nucleotide ribosomal RNA is filed under the name uncultured bacterium. Its description in RNAcentral is "bacterial SSU rRNA". It matches the Rfam family "Bacterial small subunit ribosomal RNA", at positions 28 to 334 of the family's 1533-position model. The record is from RNAcentral.
GAUGAACGCUAGCGAUAGGCUUAACACAUGCAAGUCGAGGGGUAACAUGGGAGUAGCUUGCUACUUCUGAUGACGACCGGCGGACGGGUGAGUAACACGUGGGCAACCUGCCUACAAGACUGGGAUAACUCCGGGAAACCGGGGCUAAUACCGGAUAAUCCAUCGAACCGCAUGGUUCGGUGUUGAAAGAUGGCUUUUAGCUAUCACUUGUAGAUGGGCCCGCGGCGCAUUAGCUAGUUGGUAGGGUAAUGGCCUACCAAGGCAACGAUGCGUAGCCGACCUGAGAGGGUGAUCGGCCACACUGGGACUGAGACACGGCCCAG